Molecule: ribosomal RNA, 405 nt
Filed under: uncultured bacterium
Lineage: Bacteria
Description: partial 16S ribosomal RNA
Rfam family: Bacterial small subunit ribosomal RNA
Source: RNAcentral
AUUGAACGCUGGCGGCAGGCUUAACACAUGCAAGUCGAACGAGUGGCGGACGGGUGAGUAAUGCUUGGGAAUCUAGCUUAUGGAGGGGGAUAACUACGGGAAACUGUAGCUAAUACCGCGUACCAUAGGAUGAGCCCAAGUGGGAGUAGGUAGUUGGUGAGGUAACUGCUCACCAAGCCGACGAGCACUAGCUGGUCUGAGAGGAUGACCAGCCACACUGGGACGGAGACACGGCCCAGACUCCUACGGGAGGAAGCAGUGGUGAAUAUUGCGCAAUGGGGGCAACCUGACGCAGCCAUGCCGCGUGAAUGAAGAAGGCCUUCGGGUUGUAAAGUUCUUUCGGUAGCGAGGCGUUAACUACAGAAGAAGCACCGGCUAACUCCGUGCCAGCAGCCGCGGUAAUUC